GUUGUAGCUCAGUGGUAGAGUAUUUGCCUCGAAUGUGUGUGGCACUGGGUUCGAUCCUCAGCACA
This 65-nucleotide transfer RNA is filed under the name Marmota monax (woodchuck). RNAcentral's name for it is "tRNA.Ser". Lineage: Eukaryota; Metazoa; Chordata; Mammalia; Rodentia; Sciuridae. The record is from RNAcentral.